CUCUGUACCACAGAUGUUUCAUCUCUAACAGGUGGGAUGACUGAGGCCAAUGGAAGUGAAGGUACUUGCCCAAGGUCACACAGCUGGGUUGGAACCAUUGAAGGUUCUUGAGCAGGGGAGGAACCAAAUCAGAGCUGAAGGUUAGCUGAAGAUGACUUUAGGAGCUAUGUGAACACUUACUGCCUACAGAGCCUGUGUGAUAUUGUGAUUUAUAAUAAGAAAUAUAUAUACAGUCUUAUGGUUCCUGGCACAGAGCUCCUAAGAACCUUGGAAUUUCCUAAGUGAUGAGAGCCAUAAAGGUGUCUUUGUUGUGUCAACGAGGUGACUUUUGAACAACCAGUGGAGCCAACCAUGUGAUUAGAGAACUUUCAGUCUCAUCCUCAACCUUCUGGGAGAAGAGAGGAGCUGGAGCUCAAGCACCAAUGCCCAGUGAUUUAAUCAAUCACAACUAGGCAGGACUGAUCUCCUCCUCACCCUUUGGCCAAAGACAUCAAAAGAGGAGGCUCCAAGGUCUUUGCUGCUGCCUCAAAAUUGCAGGAUGUAAGUUCUUUCUGUCACCUGUCUUUAGCACUUAUUGCUACAGUUCUAGCCCCUUCUCUCUUGCUCUACUCUCCACCAAGAAGAAAAAAAGCUUCUCACAAGUGAUUUGAAAUGCCAGAACACACUCUCAAAGGGCAGAGGCCUGAGAGCCACUGAGCAGUUUAAGACCUCCAUGGGCACCGUCUUUAUAAGACACAUGAGGAAAUGUACCCAUGUCCCACAUUAAACAUAAUUAAUGUAGGGGCGCCUGGGUGGCUCAGUCAGUUGAGUGUCGACUUUGGCUCAGGUCAUGA
Long non-coding RNA from Felis catus (domestic cat), 833 nucleotides. RefSeq lists it as uncharacterized. The transcript is spliced from 3 exons. The record is from RefSeq and is a predicted model, not a curated record. NCBI's taxonomy places the organism in Eukaryota, Metazoa, Chordata, Mammalia, Carnivora, Felidae.